This 406-nucleotide ribosomal RNA is filed under the name uncultured bacterium. RNAcentral describes it as "partial 16S ribosomal RNA". It matches the Rfam family "Bacterial small subunit ribosomal RNA", at positions 30 to 526 of the family's 1533-position model. The record is from RNAcentral.
AUUGAACGCUGGCGGCAGGCCUAACACAUGCAAGUCGAACGAGUGGCGGACGGGUGAGUAAUGUCUGGGAAACUGCCUGAUGGAGGGGGAUAACUAAUGGAAACGGUAGCUAAUACCGCAUACCAUCGGAUGUGCCCAGAUGGGAUUAGCUAGUAGGUUGGGUAAAGGGUCACCUAGGAGACGAUCCCUAGCUGGUCUGAGAGGAUGACCAGCCACACUGGAACUGAUACACGGUCCGGACACCUCCGGGAGGCAGCAGUGGGGAAUAUUGCUCAAUGGGCGCAAGCCUGAUGCAGCCAUGCCGCGUGUAUGAAGAAGGCCUUCGGGUUGUAAAGUACUUUCAGCGGGGAGGCGUUACCCGCAGAAGAAGCACCGGCUAACUCCGUGCCAUCAGCCUCGGUAAUAC